This 55-nucleotide transfer RNA is filed under the name Lardoglyphus konoi. RNAcentral describes it as "tRNA-Asp". Lineage: Eukaryota; Metazoa; Arthropoda; Arachnida; Sarcoptiformes; Lardoglyphidae. The record is from RNAcentral.
UAAACCUCAGUUAUUAGUAAUAUAGUUUUGUCAUAACUAAGAGAAAUUGGUUUAA